Non-coding RNA from Pisolithus marmoratus, 83 nucleotides. The record is from the annotation of a GenBank genome assembly. NCBI's taxonomy places the organism in Eukaryota, Fungi, Basidiomycota, Agaricomycetes, Boletales, Pisolithaceae.
GCCCUCGUUGUCUAAUGGUUAUGACGUCAGACUUCUAACCUAGUGGUAUCUGGAGGCUGUGGGUUCGAGUCCCACCGGGGGCU